CCUGAGAAACCCAAAAGAUCGGAUGGGGAGAUUCUUCGUCAGCGUCGCUGGGUUCCGUGCGGUUCGCGAUGACCGGGACUUCGGUCUUGAGUCACGCGUCUGCUGCGGUAUGUCCGGGUACGUCGGCGUGCACUUCUUCCCCUAGUAGGACGUCGCGACCCCGUUGGGUGUCCGACCGAUGGCCGUUUGGUCGCCUGUCUUGUCGCGUUCACGCGUGCACGAGGCAGACCGAAAUGGUCGAGCGUCCUGCUGCCCGGCGGUAUAGAACGCUAUUGAACGGUAAUGGGCCGCAUUAAGUGCGUUCAGGCUCGUCGGCAGGCUCGCCUCGCCCGGAUUUACGGACCUAGCGCCGUUGCCGGGUGCUUGGCGUGGCUGUUAGUCGACGAUGUCCUCGAACUGGCUCUAAAAUUCGAAAGGAUUACCGGUCGGCGACGCUACUGCUUUGGGUACUUUCAGGACCCGUC
RNAcentral lists this ribosomal RNA (464 nucleotides) under Ceranisus sp. 5 OD-2009. RNAcentral describes it as "eukaryotic LSU rRNA". Lineage: Eukaryota; Metazoa; Arthropoda; Insecta; Hymenoptera; Eulophidae. The record is from RNAcentral.